GAUGAACGCUGGCGGCGUGCCUAAUACAUGCAAGUCGAGCGAACAGACGAGGAGCUUGCUCCUCUGACGUUAGCGGCGGACGGGUGAGUAACACGUGGAUAACCUACCUAUAAGACUGGGAUAACUUCGGGAAACCGGAGCUAAUACCGGAUAAUAUAUUGAACCGCAUGGUUCAAUAGUGAAAGACGGUUUUGCUGUCACUUAUAGAUGGAUCCGCGCCGCAUUAGCUAGUUGGUAAGGUAACGGCUUACCAAGGCGACGAUGCGUAGCCGACCUGAGAGGGUGAUCGGCCACACUGGAACUGAGACACGGUCCAGACUCCUACGGGAGGCAGCAGUAGGGAAUCUUCCGCAAUGGGCGAAAGCCUGACGGAGCAACGCCGCGUGAGUGAUGAAGGUCUUCGGAUCGUAAACUCUGUUAUUAGGGAAGAACAAAUGUGUAAGUAACUAUGCACGUCUUGACGGUACCUAAUCAGAAAGCCACGGCUAACUACGUG
RNAcentral lists this ribosomal RNA (496 nucleotides) under uncultured bacterium. RNAcentral describes it as "partial 16S ribosomal RNA". It matches the Rfam family "Bacterial small subunit ribosomal RNA", at positions 28 to 507 of the family's 1533-position model. The record is from RNAcentral.